AAGAGGUGUAUUAACAAUUAGAGCUGCUAACUCAAAUAGCU
RNAcentral lists this transfer RNA (41 nucleotides) under Podarcis vaucheri. RNAcentral describes it as "partial tRNA-Ser". Lineage: Eukaryota; Metazoa; Chordata; Lepidosauria; Squamata; Lacertidae. The record is from RNAcentral.